This 402-nucleotide ribosomal RNA is filed under the name uncultured soil bacterium. RNAcentral describes it as "bacterial SSU rRNA". It matches the Rfam family "Bacterial small subunit ribosomal RNA", at positions 26 to 420 of the family's 1533-position model. The record is from RNAcentral.
AGGACGAACGCUGGCGGCGUGCCUAACACAUGCAAGUCGAGCGGGGUCCAUCCAGUGGCAACACUGGUGAAGACCUAGCGGCGAACGGGUGAGUAACACGUGAGGAACCUGCCCCGAAGUCUGGGAUAACACCGGGAAACCGGUGCUAAUACCGGAUGUCGUCUCGGAAUCGCAUGAUUCCAUGACGAAAGAUUUAUCGCUUCGGGAGGCCUCGCGGCCUAUCAGCUUGUUGGCGGGUAACGGCCACCAGGCUACGACGGUUGCUGGUCUGAGAGGACGAUCAGCCACACGUGGGACUGAGACACGGCCCAGACCUCCUACGGGAGGCAGCAGUGGGAAUAGUUGCGCAAUGGGGACGAAAGCCUGACGCAGCGACGCCGCGGUGGGGGAAGAAGGGUCCGU